UUACCUACGGGGCGCAGCAGUGGGGAAUAUUGCACAAUGGGGGAAACCCUGAUGCAGCAACGCCGCGUGAGUGAAGAAGUAUUUCGAUAUGUAAAGCUCUAUCAGCAGGGAAGAAGAUGACGGUACCUGAUUAAGAAGCCCCGGCUAACUACGUGCCAGCAGCCGCGGGAAUACGUAGGGGGCAAGCGUUAUCCGGAUUUACUGGGUGUAAAGGGAGCGUAGACGGCAUAGCACGUCUGAAGUGAAAGACCAAGGCUCAACAAUGGGACAGCUUUGGAAACUGUUAAGCU
This 290-nucleotide ribosomal RNA is filed under the name uncultured bacterium. Its description in RNAcentral is "partial 16S ribosomal RNA". It matches the Rfam family "Bacterial small subunit ribosomal RNA", at positions 335 to 642 of the family's 1533-position model. The record is from RNAcentral.